RNAcentral lists this small nuclear RNA (113 nucleotides) under Aureobasidium pullulans EXF-150. Lineage: Eukaryota; Fungi; Ascomycota; Dothideomycetes; Dothideales; Saccotheciaceae. The record is from RNAcentral.
GUAAUUUAUCCACGGACGUAUCGCUAACAAGCCGCUAGAAACUAUACAGAGAAGAUUAGCAUGGCCCCUGCACUAAGGAUGGUGAGUUCGAAUCUAAGCAUCGUCAAAACUUU